CGAAGGUCCCAAGCGUUAUCCGGAUUUAUUGGGUUUAAAGGGUGCGUAGGCGGGCUAUUAAGUCGGUGGUGAAAGCCCCAAGCUUAACUUGGGAACUGCCAUUGAUACUGAUGGUCUUGAGUACAUUUGAGGUGGGCGGAAUGUGUCAUGUAGCGGUGAAAUGCUUAGAUAUGACACAGAACACCGAUUGCGAAGGCAGCUCACUAAACUGUAACUGACGCUGAGGCACGAAAGCGUGGGGAGCAAACAGGAUUAGAUACCCUGGUAGUCCACGCCCUAAACGAUGAUCACUCGAUGCGUGCGAUAUACUGUACGCGUCUGAGCGAAAGCAUUAAGUGAUCCACCUGGGGAGUACGACCGCAAGGUUG
This 368-nucleotide ribosomal RNA is filed under the name uncultured organism. Its description in RNAcentral is "bacterial SSU rRNA". It matches the Rfam family "Bacterial small subunit ribosomal RNA", at positions 526 to 896 of the family's 1533-position model. The record is from RNAcentral.